This is a long non-coding RNA of Phyllostomus discolor (pale spear-nosed bat), 1143 nucleotides long. RefSeq lists it as uncharacterized. The transcript has 2 exons. The record is from RefSeq and is a predicted model, not a curated record. NCBI's taxonomy places the organism in Eukaryota, Metazoa, Chordata, Mammalia, Chiroptera, Phyllostomidae.
ACAGCGUUUCAGGUGAAGUGGGACCGAGCGGGCAUCCCGUGGGUGCAGGGACCCGGAGGACGCUGCCGCCCAGGAAGCACACGGCCUGCAACGUGAACCGGCCCGACUUCUCCGAUUCAAAGGGAUCGAACCCGUAACCUUGGUAUAUGGGGACAACGGUCUAACCAACGGAACUACCCAGCCAUGGCUGGCUCUGUCCUUCUAAGGCUGAGGGGCUGCGUGGUGAUGUCACCACUGGCCAUUGAAUCAACCACCAUUGAUGUCCGAGGCCGGCUGUAUUCUUCAAGAGAGGUCUUCUCUCCGUUGGGUUUUUACAUGCUUUAUGUUAUCUAUAGAGGUCAUUUUCCUUCUUCUUUUAGAAAUUCUAUCAGGCACAUCUAGCCUUGACGUCAGCCCCAAUUUCAAUGAGUGAAACUGAAGGAGGCAUUUCUUUGAAAUGCACACAUGUGCUCUUUUACAAGUAAUCUCACUUCCCUUCCCUCUUUUCUCAUUAGCCUAACCAAUGCCCUCUCUCCACGGCUCACUUCGCUCUAGCCACAACUGUCCCCUCCACGCCAAAUCUGUUCCUGCCUCGUGUCCUCUGCACUUGCUGUUCCCUUGCCCCUGAAUGUUUUCUGUAUCAGCUGUUGAAUAAACUUUUCUGUGAUGAUGAAAAUAUUCUGUAUCUGUGCUGUCCAAUAUCGCAGCCACUAACCAUAUGCUGGCUGCUAUUUGAAAUGUGCUUAGUGUGACUGAGGGACUGAUUUUAAAAUGUUACUUCACCAUUCAGGCCUCAGCUCAAAUGCUGUCUCCUCCAAGAGCCCACUCCUGAUGGCCUCACCUAAGCAGGCUCCUCAGCCCACACCCCCCUCUGCCCUUCUCUGCACUGACCACCUGGAAUAGCUGUGCCUGUGUUUGCGUCACAUCAUUUCCCUCCUCUAGAAUGUAAGGUCCCUGAGGACAGACACCUCAUCUCUCUUAUUCCCUGCUGUCUCCAAGCACCCAGAACUGUGACUGGCAAAGGCAAAUAGCCAGUGAAUGAAUGAAUGAAUCAGUUCGCCUGGCCAAGGUGCUUCCUUGAUGGGAUGAGAAAAAAAAAAGAGGGAAAUCCAUGCAUCUUAGCAAAAGAAUUGUGAAAUGCUUUUAUCAGAACUCUGACCCAUG